UGCAUCCAGAGUUCCACUGUUCUAUGG
This 27-nucleotide unclassified non-coding RNA is filed under the name Mus musculus (house mouse). RNAcentral describes it as "oocyte_clustered_small_RNA7154". The record is from RNAcentral. Lineage: Eukaryota; Metazoa; Chordata; Mammalia; Rodentia; Muridae.